UGCAGUCGAGCGGUAACAUUCCAAAAGCUUGCUUUUGAAGAUGACGAGCGGCGGACGGGUGAGUAAUGCCUGGGAACAUGCCUUGGUGUGGGGGAUAACCAUUGGAAACGAUGGCUAAUACCGCAUAACGUCUACGGACCAAAGAGGGGGACCUUCGGGCCUCUCGCGCCAAGAUUGGCCCAGGUGGGAUUAGCUAGUAGGUGGGGUAACGGCUCACCUAG
Molecule: ribosomal RNA, 221 nt
Filed under: Vibrio sp. TWPV13H
Lineage: Bacteria; Pseudomonadati; Pseudomonadota; Gammaproteobacteria; Vibrionales; Vibrionaceae
Description: partial 16S ribosomal RNA
Rfam family: Bacterial small subunit ribosomal RNA
Source: RNAcentral